CAGCCGCCGCGGGAACACGAAGGGUGCAAGCGUUAAUCGGAAUUACUGGGCGUAAAGCGCACGCAGGCGGUUUGUUAAGUCAGAUGUGAAAUCCCCGAGCUUAACUUGGGAACUGCAUUUGAAACUGGUAAGCUAGAGUCUUGUAGAGGGGGGUAGAAUUCCAGGUGUAGCGGUGAAAUGCGUAGAGAUCUGGAGGAAUACCGGUGGCGAAGGCGGCCCCCUGGACAAAGACUGACGCUCAGGUGCGAAAGCGUGGGGAGCAAACAGGAUUAGAGACCCCAGUAGUCCCUGUCUCUUAUAC
This 301-nucleotide ribosomal RNA is filed under the name uncultured bacterium. RNAcentral's name for it is "partial 16S ribosomal RNA". It matches the Rfam family "Bacterial small subunit ribosomal RNA", at positions 509 to 807 of the family's 1533-position model. The record is from RNAcentral.